RNAcentral lists this ribosomal RNA (692 nucleotides) under uncultured Arcobacter sp. Its description in RNAcentral is "bacterial SSU rRNA". It matches the Rfam family "Bacterial small subunit ribosomal RNA", at positions 56 to 761 of the family's 1533-position model. The record is from RNAcentral. Lineage: Bacteria; Pseudomonadati; Campylobacterota; Epsilonproteobacteria; Campylobacterales; Arcobacteraceae.
UGCAGUCGACGAGAACGGAUUACAGCUUGCUGCAAUUGUCAGCUAAGUGGCGCACGGGUGAGUAAUAUAUAGUUAACCUGCCUCAAAGAAGAGAAUAAUUGUUGGAAACGACUUGUAAUGCUCUAUAUGCCUUUAUCACAUAAGUGAGCAAGGGAAAUAUUUAUAGCUUUGAGAUGGGACUGUACGGUAUCAGUUAGUUGGUGAGGUAAUGGCUCACCAAGACUAUGACGCCUAACUGGUUUGAGAGGAUGAUCAGUCACACUGGAACUGAGACACGGUCCAGACUCCUACGGGAGGCAGCAGUGGGGAAUAUUGCACAAUGGAGGAAACUCUGAUGCAGCAACGCCGCGUGGAGGAUGACACAUUUCGGUGCGUAAACUCCUUUUAUAUGAGAAGAUAAUGACGGUAUCAUAUGAAUAAGCACCGGCUAACUCCGUGCCAGCAGCCGCGGUAAUACGGGGGGUGCAAGCGUUACUCGGAAUCACUGGGCGUAAAGAGCAUGUAGGCUGGUUUGUAAGUUGGAAGUGAAAUCCUAUGGCUUAACCAUAGAACUGCUUCCAAAACUGCAGACCUAGAAUAUGGGAGAGGUAGAUGGAAUUUCUGGUGUAGGGGUAAAAUCCGUAGAGAUCAGAAGGAAUACCGAUUGCGAAGGCGAUCUACUGGAACAUUAUUGACGCUGAGAUGCGAAAGCG